This 254-nucleotide ribosomal RNA is filed under the name uncultured bacterium. RNAcentral describes it as "partial 16S ribosomal RNA". It matches the Rfam family "Bacterial small subunit ribosomal RNA", at positions 107 to 354 of the family's 1533-position model. The record is from RNAcentral.
UGAGUAACACGUGAGUGACCUGCCUUUUAGACUGGAACAACUUACCGAAAGGUGAGCUAAUGCCGGAUGAGUUAUAUAAGUGCAUGUUUAUAUAGGAAAAGUUGGGGAGACCUGACGCUGAAAGAUGGACUCGCGUCCCAUUAGCUAGUUGGUAGGGUAAUGGCCUACCAAGGCGACGAUGGGUAGCCGGCCUGAGAGGGUGGCCGGCCACACUGGGACUGAGACACGGCCCAGACCCCUACGGAAGGCAGCAG